Molecule: transfer RNA, 77 nt
Filed under: Novosphingobium pokkalii
Lineage: Bacteria; Pseudomonadati; Pseudomonadota; Alphaproteobacteria; Sphingomonadales; Sphingomonadaceae
Description: tRNA-Leu
Source: RNAcentral
CUGGCGGCUGGGGUGACCGUUUCCCCCCUCCUCUUCAGAGGAGGGGCUGGGGGUGGUGCGAAGUCUCGCGCUAGGCC